UUGCGGUGUGGAUAGCGGUGAAAUUCCAAACGAACUUGGAGAUAGCUGGUUCUCUCCGAAAUAGCUUUAGGGCUAGCCUCGGAAUUAGGAUCAUGGAGGUAGAGCACUAUUUGGACUAGGGGCCCGUCUUGGGUUACUGAAUUCAGAUAANNGAUUCAUAUCCGGGAGUCAGACGAUGAGUGAUAAGAUCCACCGUCGAAAGGGGAACAGCCCAGACCAUCAGUUAAGGUCCCUAAAUGUAUGCUAAGUGGAAAAGGAUGUGGAGUUGCAUAGACAACUAGGAUGUUGGCUCAGAAGCAGCC
This 302-nucleotide ribosomal RNA is filed under the name Acinetobacter baumannii. Its description in RNAcentral is "partial 23S ribosomal RNA". It matches the Rfam family "Bacterial large subunit ribosomal RNA", at positions 804 to 1117 of the family's 2925-position model. Lineage: Bacteria; Pseudomonadati; Pseudomonadota; Gammaproteobacteria; Moraxellales; Moraxellaceae. The record is from RNAcentral.